RNAcentral lists this long non-coding RNA (318 nucleotides) under Elaeis guineensis (African oil palm). RNAcentral's name for it is "long non-coding RNA (EGUI_LNC028366)". The record is from RNAcentral. Lineage: Eukaryota; Viridiplantae; Streptophyta; Magnoliopsida; Arecales; Arecaceae.
UCUUGGAAAUCGUGUGCAGUCGUCAAAUGUUAGGAAAAUUGUUAGAAAAAUUGUAUGCUCCCCUCUGUAACGUGAGACGUGAUACAUUAGACUAGCCUUUUGCAGUCUCUCCUAUCUUUAAUUUUUCUUUAUCUCCACAAAACCAUCGCCAUCUAGUGAUGUAGUGUGUAAUCGGUUUUUUUUUUUUUGUUGCAAUGUGUAAUCGGAUUCGAGUCGUAUCUUAACGCCAGAUCUUUUUCUCCGAGAUCAACUAUUGGAUUGAUUAUAUCUCAUACAGAUCACAAAAUAUUAUGAAUGAUCUUCUUUAUUUAUAUUAUG